RNAcentral lists this ribosomal RNA (443 nucleotides) under uncultured bacterium. Its description in RNAcentral is "partial 16S ribosomal RNA". It matches the Rfam family "Bacterial small subunit ribosomal RNA", at positions 338 to 795 of the family's 1533-position model. The record is from RNAcentral.
CCUACGGGAGGCAGCAGUGGGGAAUAUUGGGCAAUGGAGGCAACUCUGACCCAGCAACGCCGCGUGAAUGAUGAAGGUCUUCGGAGUGUAAAGCUCUUUUCUAAGGGAAGAAGAAAGUGACGGUACCUUAGGAAUAAGCCUCGGCUAACUACGUGCCAACAGCCGCGGUAAUACGUAGGCGGCAAGCGUUAUGCGGAAUGACUGGGGGUAAAGGGUGCGUAGGUGGUUUGACAAGUUAGUAGCGCAACUCCGGGGCUCAACUUCGGAACGACUACUAAAACUGUUGGACUUGAGAGCAGGAGAGGUAAGCGGAAUGCCUAGUGUAGCGGUGGAAUGCGUAGAUAUUAGGAGGAACACCAGUGGCGAAGGCAGAUUGCUAGACUGUAACUGACGCUGAGGCACGAAAGCGUGGGGAGCAAACAGGAUUAGAUACCCUUGUAGUC